RNAcentral lists this long non-coding RNA (780 nucleotides) under Nicotiana benthamiana. RNAcentral describes it as "long non-coding RNA (NBEN_LNC023159)". The record is from RNAcentral. Lineage: Eukaryota; Viridiplantae; Streptophyta; Magnoliopsida; Solanales; Solanaceae.
AAUUGUAGAUUGGAGAAUUCCGUAGCUUGCAGUUUCAUCAACCAAAAUGGCGUCAACUUCAAAAUCUCUGAAACUGCCAUGGUUAUCCCAAUAACCAUUACAUUUAAGCAUUAUCGGAAUUUUUGACAUUGUAGAAUCUCCUUACUGCCAAUCACGGAAGAGCUACAAAAUAUGAAAAAACAAGAGAGAAUCUGGGGGAAUUAGGCUAUCACUCAAUAACAAGAAAAUCUGAUUUUGAAUGGAAGAAUGAGACUAGUCAAUUUCCAAACAGUUUUGUCGAAUUUUAAAUGGAGGAAUGAGAGUACAGUUUUGACGAAUUUCUGUUUGGAGGAAUGGCUGUAGUCAAUUUCGAAACAGUUUAUUGUCGAAAAAAUCCAAUAGAUCUUCCGUUUAGAGGACAUAAUCGGUUUAGUUUAGAGGAUAUAUUUGGAGCAUUUAAUAUGUUACCUUAAUGUAAGGGAAAUUUAUUUGGUAGUAAAUCAAACAUUAAUUAUCAUUCAUAUGUUACCUUAAUGUAAGGGAAAUUUAUUUGGUAGUAAAUCAAACAUUUAUUAUCAUUCAAAACUGAUUGGCAUUCAAAACUGAUUGGCGUGAAAAGAAGAGAUAAGCAAAUAUCAUUAGCCUUAAUUGUCUAGUGUUAAUUUAUGAUGGAAAAUCAGCAAAUAUCUUGUUUGGUACAUAUUAUGUCACAAAAACAUGAGAUAUGAGGGUAAUAAACAAACAAUGCACAAUAAUGGUAGUAAGGUUUGUUAUAUGGGAUGUAUAGGUAAAAAUCCCUUU